GGUGGUACCGGUGGAUCACGUGGCUAGUGUGUCGAUGAAGAGCGCAGCCAACUGUGUGAAUUAAUGUGAACUGCAUACUGCUUUGAACAUCGACAUCUUGAACGC
RNAcentral lists this ribosomal RNA (105 nucleotides) under Dicrogaster perpusilla. RNAcentral's name for it is "partial 5.8S ribosomal RNA". It matches the Rfam family "5.8S ribosomal RNA", at positions 7 to 107 of the family's 154-position model. From Rfam's summary of the family: 5.8S ribosomal RNA (5.8S rRNA) is a component of the large subunit of the eukaryotic ribosome. It is transcribed by RNA polymerase I as part of the 45S precursor that also contains 18S and 28S rRNA. Functionally, it is thought that 5.8S rRNA may be involved in ribosome translocation. Lineage: Eukaryota; Metazoa; Platyhelminthes; Trematoda; Plagiorchiida; Haploporidae. The record is from RNAcentral.